RNAcentral lists this transfer RNA (62 nucleotides) under Dorcus tityus. RNAcentral describes it as "tRNA-His". The record is from RNAcentral. Lineage: Eukaryota; Metazoa; Arthropoda; Insecta; Coleoptera; Lucanidae.
AUUUGAUUAGUUUAAGGAAAAUAUUGAUUUGUGGAAUCAAAGAUGUGUGAAUACAUCAAAUA